CGCAUCGCUGGCUCGGCAGCGGAGCGCCGCGCGUUAUCGGCGCGCGGCGGGAUCGGCGAUGAAACCGACCUUCGCAAGGCCGGCGGCCCGU
This 91-nucleotide transfer RNA is filed under the name Burkholderia lata. Its description in RNAcentral is "tRNA-Asp". Lineage: Bacteria; Pseudomonadati; Pseudomonadota; Betaproteobacteria; Burkholderiales; Burkholderiaceae. The record is from RNAcentral.